CGUCGUGGUAAAUGAAUUAUAUGGUGAAUAUAACGGACAAUUCUGCUUUGGAUACUUCAAGAUAUUCUUUUCAUUUUAAAAGAAAGAUGGCUGUGCAUCAUAUCCUUUUAUUUAUUGCAUUCAGUAAACUAGGUGUAGAAGGAAUGUCUUUUCAGCAAAAUGUGAAUAAAAAGUUAGUAUAUACUGCGGUGCCAUUAAAUUUUCGGAGAGCAUCAAGAUUAUGUGAACAACUAGGUGGUAUAAUAGCUCCAUUAAAAACACGAAUGGAUGACAUGUUAAUAAGUGCCAUCAGAGGUAAAAAAGAUAUAUGGAUUGGAGGAACUGAUAGAGAGAUUGAAGGUGAAUUUAGAUGGUUGGAUGGUGAUUUAUUAAAUUAUACAAACUGGCGGGAAGGUAAA
Patella vulgata (common limpet) is the source of this 398-nucleotide RNA transcript. RefSeq lists it as uncharacterized. The record is from RefSeq and is a predicted model, not a curated record. NCBI's taxonomy places the organism in Eukaryota, Metazoa, Mollusca, Gastropoda, Patellidae. The transcript is spliced from 3 exons.